RNAcentral lists this ribosomal RNA (253 nucleotides) under uncultured bacterium. RNAcentral's name for it is "partial 16S ribosomal RNA". It matches the Rfam family "Bacterial small subunit ribosomal RNA", at positions 524 to 776 of the family's 1533-position model. The record is from RNAcentral.
UACGUAGGUGGCAAGCGUUGUCCGGAUUUAUUGGGUUUAAAGGGUGCGUAGGCGGUUCUCUAAGUCAGUUGUGAAAUACUUCAGCUUAACUGGAGAGGUGCAAUUGAUACUGGAGGACUUGAGUACUGAUGAGGUAGGCGGAAUGGACGGUGUAGCGGUGAAAUGCUUAGAUAUCGUAAGGAAGACCAGUGGCGAAGGCGGGUCUCUGGACAGUUCCUGACGCUGAGGCACGAAGGCCAGGGGAGCAAACGGG